GAACGCUAGCGGCAGGCUUAACACAUGCAAGUCGAGGGGCAGCGGGGAGGAAGCUUGCUUUCUCCGCCGGCGACCGGCGCACGGGUGAGUAACACGUAUGCAACCUGCCCCUGUCAGGGGGACAACCCGCCGAAAGGCGGGCUAAACCCGCGUACAUGCCACCGGGGCAUCCCGGAGGCAGGAAAGGCUUCGGCCGGACAGGGAUGGGCAUGCGGCGCAUUAGGCAGUAGGCGGGGUAACGGCCCACCUAACCGACGAUGCGUAGGGGUUCUGAGAGGAAGGUCCCCCACACCGGUACUGAGACACGGACCAGACUCCUACGGGAGGCAGCAGUGAGGAAUAUUGGUCAAUGGUCGGGAGACUGAACCAGCCAAGCCGCGUGAGGGAGGAAGGUACAGAGUAUCGUAAACCUCUUUUGUCAGGGAACAAAGACUGGGACGCGUCCCCGGAUGAGUGUACCUGAAGAAAAAGCAUCGGCUAACUCCGUGCCAGCAGCCGCGGUAAUACGGAGGAUGCGAGCGUUAUCCGGAUUUAUUGGGUUUAAAGGGUGCGCAGGCGGUCUGUUAAGUCAGCGGUCAAAGCCCGGGGCUCAACCCCGGCCCGCCGUUGAAACUGGCAGUCUCGAGUUGGAGAGAAGUAUGCGGAAUGCGCGGUGUAGCGGUGAAAUGCAUAGAUAUCGCGCAGAACUCCGAUUGCGAAGGCAGCAUGCCGGCUCCACACUGACGCUGAGGCACGAAAGCGUGGGUAUCGAACAGGAUAGAUACCCUGGUAGUCCACGCAGUAAACGAUGAAUGCUGGCUGUCCGGGGGGACUGACCCCUGGGUGGCGAAGCGAAAGCGAUAAGCAUUCCACCUGGGGAGUACGCCGGCAACGGUGAAACUCAAAGGAAUUGACGGGGGCCCGCACAAGCGGAGGAACAUGUGGUUUAAUUCGAUGAUACGCGAGGAACCUUACCCGGGCUCAAACGGGGAGUGGCGCAGGCAGAGACGCCUGUUUCCCACGGGACACUCCCCGAGGUGCUGCAUGGUUGUCGUCAGCUCGUGCCGUGAGGUGUCGGCUUAAGUGCCAUAACGAGCGCAACCCCCGCGUGCAGUUGCUAACAGUCAACGCUGGGGACUCUGCACGGACUGCCGGCGCAAGCCGCGAGGAAGGCGGGGAUGACGUCAAAUCAGCACGGCCCUUACGUCCGGGGCGACACACGUGUUACAAUGGGUGGUACAGCGGGAAGCCAGGCGGCGACGCCGAGCGGAACCCGAAAUCCACUCUCAGUUCGGAUCGGAGUCUGCAACCCGACUCCGUGAAGCUGGAUUCGCUAGUAAUCGCGCAUCAGCCAUGGCGCGGUGAAUACGUUCCCGGGCCUUGUACACACCGCCCGUCAAGCCAUGGGAGCCGAGGGCGCUUGAAGUGCGUCGCCGCGAGGCGCGCCCUAGAGCGAAAUCGGUGACC
RNAcentral lists this ribosomal RNA (1446 nucleotides) under uncultured bacterium. Its description in RNAcentral is "bacterial SSU rRNA". It matches the Rfam family "Bacterial small subunit ribosomal RNA". The record is from RNAcentral.